This 21-nucleotide microRNA is filed under the name Corchorus capsularis. RNAcentral describes it as "sRNA CCACVL1_30843". Lineage: Eukaryota; Viridiplantae; Streptophyta; Magnoliopsida; Malvales; Malvaceae. The record is from RNAcentral.
AAAAAAGUUUGUCUGGGUUUU